Molecule: non-coding RNA, 72 nt
Organism: Phrynosoma platyrhinos (Desert horned lizard)
Lineage: Eukaryota; Metazoa; Chordata; Lepidosauria; Squamata; Phrynosomatidae
Source: the annotation of a GenBank genome assembly
GCCAGAGUGGUGUACUGGUUUGAGUGUUGGACUACAAGUUUGAAGACCAUGGUUCAAAUCCAUGCUCAGCCA